RNAcentral lists this unclassified non-coding RNA (697 nucleotides) under Hevea brasiliensis (rubber tree). The record is from RNAcentral. Lineage: Eukaryota; Viridiplantae; Streptophyta; Magnoliopsida; Malpighiales; Euphorbiaceae.
CAAUAUACAGUGUAAAUGUAAAGGCGUCAUCCAUCCAUCAUUAGUUUUGAACUCCCUGUCCUCCCCCGUUUGGAGUGCGAACGAGUACGUUGGAAACAGCGUUCGGGAGUUCCAAAUCGCCGGACUCCCAUGUCUCCUCCUCCUUCUUCAUCAUCAUCAUGAAUUUUAUUUUCCUUCCUCUGCAGAUGGAUGUCCUCUUUCUCUUCUCUCAUUUCCAAACGAUUCCUUAUCAUUUGGAUUAAGAGUCGCGAAUCACGAUCAUUAAUAUUAUUAUUUUUGUUUCCAUCUCUCGCUAUGCGUUGGCUUCCAAACAUUUCCUUCUCGUCGUCGUCUAAUCCUUCCACCUCUGCGCCUUCCUCUUCCUCUCCUCAGCCUACUUUCUCUUCCUCCUCCUCGUUCUCUUCUUCUGCUGCUGUUGGCGAUGUCACUUUUUCUCCAUCCAGGAAGCAUAGUCAUAAAAGCUAUAUUCGUGCUGGUCCGUUAGGUUUGCGUUUCGGCGGUGGCGGUGGUCCCAGGCUCACGCGCCAGAGGAAGCUCCGCCAUUUGGCCGAAAAUGAGGUUGCAAUCCAAGACGCUUCCGCGAAACCGAACCACGAGUCUGCUGAGUCCGUUCAGCUUUUGCGGUCGCCUAGUGGUUCUUCCUCCACCGUGCCAUCGAGGAUGUCAUCGUCAGUUCCUGUGCCUGUGCCGUUGCCCC